RNAcentral lists this ribosomal RNA (253 nucleotides) under uncultured bacterium. RNAcentral describes it as "partial 16S ribosomal RNA". It matches the Rfam family "Bacterial small subunit ribosomal RNA", at positions 524 to 776 of the family's 1533-position model. The record is from RNAcentral.
UACGAAGGGGGCUAGCGUUGCUCGGAAUCACUGGGCGUAAAGGGCGCGUAGGCGGCCUGUUAAGUCGAACGUGAAAUCCCCGGGCUCAACCCGGGAACUGCGUCCGAUACUGGCAGGCUCGAAUCCGGGAGAGGGAUGCGGAAUUCCAGGUGUAGCGGUGAAAUGCGUAGAUAUCUGGAGGAACACCGGUGGCGAAGGCGGCAUCCUGGACCGGCAUUGACGCUGAGGCGCGAAAGCCAGGGGAGCAAACGGG